UUUUUUUUUUUUUUUUUUUUUGCCACGAAGGGAGGAUCCCUCGUUACAACAUACACGGUGGACACUCAAUUUGAAGAAGGUGCAACCGCAAACUCCCACGAGAGCCAUAAUAUGGCUUGAGGAGUAUAUGAAGGAGGUAGACCACUUAAUUUGAAGAAGGUGCAACCCAAACUCCCACGAGAGCCAUAUUAUGGCUUGAGGAGUACAUGAAGACGGUGCGACCAAGAUUUGAAGAAGGUGCAACCGCAAACUCCCACGAGAGCCAUAUUAUGGCUUGAGGAGUACAUGAAGACGGUGCGACCAAAAUUUGAAGAAGGUGCAACCGCAAACUCCCACGAGAGCUAUAUUAUGGCUUGAGGAGUACAUGAAAAAGGUGCAACCAAGAAAUUUGAAGGAGGUGCAACCGCAAACUCCCACGAGAGCUAUAUUAUGGCUUGAGGAGUACCAAGGAGAUGGCGCAACCAAAAUUUGAAAAUGGCGCAACCGCAAACUCCCACGAGAGCCAUAUUAUGGCUUGAGGAGUACCAAGGAGAUGCAAUUACCCACUUCAAUAAAACUCACCCAAAAUUCAAGAAGUCUUUUACUACUUUCAAUCCUGCUAUUUUAACCAAACUUUCUUUUUCCUUCCUUUUGCUGCAGGUUAGUCUUGAUGCAAUGGUGGUGUUCAAGGAAGUCGCUUCUUCAAACGAAAAGUAUCUCCUUAUCACUGACAGCGAUGGUGACUCUGGUGACAAAGGAACGAAAUUAUUGGUGCAUUCCCCUAUACAAGGAAGUUACUCGGGUAAGUGGCCUUCUCACCAGUACCCAGAGUUGAAGGAUUGGUCAUUCGAACUUCCUCAAGAUGAUGGCACGAAGGUUCACUCCUUGAAAUCCCUUAUUCACGAUAAGGAACCAAGGACAACUCUUUUUCAAACCCUUGGCAGGCGGAUCAUGGAUGGAGAUGCACACUGGGGUCCUUCCUUGAGACUCAGUGGUGCAUUCAGUUACAUCGAGAAUUACUGGGAGUGGUUGGAGGAUAUCCUCGGCAGGAGCAAACAAGUGCUCCGUGAAAAUUGCUUGUUCGAUGCCUUAUAUGCUUCGCUUUUCACAUAUGACAGGAAUCCCCAUGUACUUAGAGCAUUCUGCGAGGCAUGGUGUCCAGAUACUAAUACCUUGCAUACAUCUGUUGGAGAACUGUCUCUCUCACUUUGGGACUUGCACAAGUUAGGGGGACUUCCAAUCAUCGGGGGUAUUUAUGAAGAGGUAAUCCCAUGCGCGGAGGAGCUAACUGGGGUUAAUGAAAAGAAAUUAAGGCAUAUUCCACAAAGUUGUGAGUAUCUGUUCGCAGCCUUACAUCAUCUCCAACGUGGGGAAUCCAACAAAGCUGGAGUUUCUGCUGACCAAUGGAUUAAUUUCUGGUUUAAAGGCAAAACCAGGUACUCAAAGCCAAAGCAGAGAAGGAUAAAGAGGGCAUCUCGUGCUCAAGCAACCCAAAAUCCGGAUGGCGAAAUUGGACACUCGCGCAAAUUUUCAAGUCAAGACAAUGGUGUAUUUAAUACCAUCGGAGUUAAACUUCAUUUGCGGGAAGAGAGUUAUCUUGCAGCAUUUAUAUCUUGCUGGCUCUGUGUCUUUGUUUUACCAGAUGAGGACCCCCAUUAUAUUAGACCAUCUACUUUCAAAAUGGCUAGUAUGAUGGCUGCCGGUCGUAAGACUUGCCUUGCUGUUCCUGUCCUGCUAAACAUAUACCGUGGGCUUGAUAAAAUUUCAAAUUCAGCUACCCCAGGGUGUGCACGUGCGGCUUUUCCGGUGCACUACGUAUAUGCUUGGUUAGCGAGUUAUUUCUCUACCCAUUAUUUGACUCCAAAUACCAUGCCUGGACCCACCAUGACCAACUAUUCUGGAGAGGGUGGCGCACGAUACUUUGAUGAAAAUAGUGCUCGCGACCUCAUUCAUCAGGGUGAUAAAGUAACUUGGGGAAUCACUUCUCUUGUGAAGAAUCGUAAUGAACUCUUUAUUGACGAUGGCAAACUAGCAAAUCUCGAACUAAGUUAUUUUGUAAGCGCCUGCUCAAAUUACUUAGUUUUGCAUGCUGAAGGGGAUUUCCUUGUUGAGCCAUAUAGUCCAUAUAGAUUCGCGCGGCAAUUCGGGUUUUAUCAAGUUCCUCCACAGGAACUCGGGGCAGAUGUGCGUUCCACAAAUUAUGACUUGAGUCGAAUACUCUGGCGCACUGCCAUUCGUAGUAAAACAGAGUCAAAGAUACUUUUUCCUAGCUAUCCCUUGAAUGCUAGCAAGCACACAUCUUCAGACUUUCAAACAUGGUGGUCUGCGGUACAUGAUGAUUACCUCCUCAAAGGGCGUGAUACUUUGAUUAAGAGUGUCCAAUCAAGUGGGGAGCAGAAGAGGUCAAAAGGGAAGGAACUUGCAAACCUGAACAAUCUCUCCAAAGUUGAUAACAGUCUUGAGAUGAAGCAAAAGACUGUGAGAAAAGAGAAGGAAGUUUUGAAGAGUUCAAACAACAAGGUUGCUACCCUUGAGGACCUUACCCCUAAUGAACAAUUUUCGAAGGGUACUUCAGUUCGUCUUCCCUCAAAAAUUGUGAAAGCCAUUGAUCAUGAUUCUUGCAAUUCACAUGAGAAGAAGAGGAGCGAGCCUUUUGAUGAGGAGGAUGAGCAAUCCACUAGCACGGACCAGCAUUGGAAGCGCAAGAAGUCCAAGGUAAUGACUUUCCCUUUGGAUGAUAUUGGUUUAGAUCCUAAGGAACUCUUUAAAGACAUUCCGGAUAUAUCUGUGCCUGGUAUAAGCCGUGUCAAUAUUGUAAGGACCCCCUUGCCUUCUUUAAUUUAGCAUUUGAAAUCUACUUGUCAAUUUCAUAUUCAUGAUUUGUCUCAUAACGUUUUCCUUACAGUUGGAUGAUCAAGACUUUAUCUUCAUUGAUGAUGGAGAACCAAGUCAAGUAUCAGUUGAAGGACCUACUGCAUUUGAACUUUUGGCCAAACAAGUGAUCAGUUCUACCCAACAAAUGGGUGCUAGCGAGAAUUCCAAAAAGGCAGUAGAUGAUGAAAAUGUGACUCAGCAAAUCAUGGCACAGAAGGCGGAGCACAUGACUCCAUCGGCCAAAAGGAAACUCAAAGUCUUUGAUCCACCAUCGUGGCCAAGGGCACCUCGAGUAUCUGAAUUUUGCCCCCAAAAUGUGAUCUCAACAUGCCGUCGAGACUACAUCCAAAUGUUGUGGAAUAAUUUGAGGGUGAUGAUAUCUCAAACAGCCUUGGAGCGCAUGCCAGCUCUUGAAAUAAAAGCCAACGAGAUCAUAGAGGAAAUGCAAAGCUUCAAUGCCACGAAUAUCUCAAAUUUGCAAGGCCUUUUAAAGGCUUUCUUUGCAAAUACAGCUCGUUACGUUGCAGUGAAAUCUUCUCUCUCAAAUAAAAUUCCAGUCGAAUCAUAUGAUGAGUUGCUUUCUACGGCCACCCAACAUCUUAGAGAUGCUCAGAGUAAGGAGAGACAACAGGCGGAGAAGAUCUCAACACACAUGUUGAAGCUUAAGGAACUCGAUCGCGAGGAAGUAGAGUUGAGGAAUCGACUUGAGUUCUUGGGUGCUCACAGGAAGGAGAUGCUUUCACUGUUACGAGAAGAGCAAGAUGAUCUUACCCGAGUGCAAGGCGUGAUGGUCGACUUACAAAACGAAGUUCGAAAGAUUGAGAAUUCCCCGCCCCUACUUGCUGAGGAGAGUCAAACUUUGGACAAGAUGCAAGCGUUACUUGAAAGCAACCGAAAGGAGCUGUCGUCAUUUGAAUUCUAGGAAUAGUUGCAAUUUUUUUUACUUUGUUUCAAAUUUCAUCUUUUGUUACCUGCUCAAAGCGUGUAGUUAUGAGUACAAACAUUUCAUAAUGAAGCUUGCUCUCUCUUUUUCACAUUCUUGCAGACGACCUCGUCUUUACUUGCUUUUUCGAUAGCCACCAUUUUAGACUAUCAACCGUAGUAUGAACAAUUCUAUCUUUGCAUAAUUUUGAUCACACUUGAAAAGGUAAUUAUCCAAAUAAUUUAGUAAUCUGAAUAAUACACUUUCAAGUAUAUGUCACAAAAUAAUUCGAACUGUCUUAAAGAGAACCGCUCUUUUUUUUUUUUUUAACAAAAGAAUCAUCCGGACAAAGGAUUUAGUUUUAUAUGAUUGUAACUGAACUUAGAAGUUGCCCUCUAAACUGCCUACGUAUCCCAACAGGGAAUCAAGUCACACGUAGUUCCUACCAUUCACAGUUUAAACUCUUGCGGGUCAGGAGUAUCCUUUUGUUUACCACCUUAGAUUUGGUGGAGUGUUUCAGCAGUUUAACCACGUGCUACACUAUUGGUGGUUGUUGUCCACAGUUUUAGCUCAUGCGGGUUUGGAGCAACAUGCAGUUUAGACUCAUGCGUCAUGGAGUACUUCACUUUUUUUUUUUUUUAUGGCAUGUAUAGCUUCACGAAUUUUCCAUUUAUAGGACCAACUUUCACGCCAUCUUUGUCCACCAAUUUGUACGCACCAUUCGUGUAGACUUCUCGAACAAUGUACGGCCCAUCCCAUUUAGAGGCGAAUUUGUCUUUAGUGCGAUGAGUCAUAACUAUUGGUCUUCGAACGGCAAGUACCAUGUCCCCGACUUGAAAGGAGCGACGUCGAACUUUCUUAUUAAAAGCUCUAGAGAGACGGGCUUGAUAGCACUCCAGAUUUUGUUGGGCCUCCAAUCUCUUUUCAUCCAAAGCUUCCAAUUCUUCAAGGCGCAGGCGAACAUUUUCUUCCUCCGUGAGCCCUUCUUGGAUAGCAAUUCUCAAAGAAGGAAUUUGUUGCUCAAGGGGGAGAACAACUUCUACACCAUAGACCAAGGCAUAUGGUGUGGCUUGCGUCGGAGUUCGGUAUGUGGUGCGAUAGGCCCAAAGAGUUUCGCCUAUCCUUUCGUGCCAAUCCUUCUUUGACUUUGCCACUACUUUCUUCAACAAGUUACAUAAAGUUUUGUUGAAUGCCUCUGCGAGACCAUUGGCGGGGGCAUUAUACAUGGAGGACUUGCGUUGCUUGAGAUUAAAUUUCUCACAUAACUUAUCCAUCAAGCCAUUGGAGAAGGAUUUUCCAUUAUCAGUGAUAAUGUACCGGGGAACUCCAUAACGGUAAAUAAUAUUCACACGAAUAAAAUUCACCACAUCUUCCUUUCUAACUUGCUUGAGCGGUAUGGCUUCAGCCCACUUAGAAAAGUAGUCGGUCGCAGCCAAUAUAUAUAAGUGUUGAUCGGAUGACUUUGGUAAUGGCCCCACAACAUCAAGGCCCCAAGCAUCAAAAGGCCAAGAAGCAACGGUCGGGUGUAACGGCUCAGGUGGUUGAUGAAUGUAAUUUGCAUGAAACUGGCAAGCUUGACAUCUUUGAGCAUAUUCUAUGCAAUCUUUGACCAUAGUAGACCAAUAGUAGCCCAUCCUUUUAAUCCGAAAAUGUAACUUGGGACCGGAUUGAUGUGCUCCACAUAUUCCAGAAUGUGCUUCGUGCAUCGCCCGAUAUGCCUCGUCUUCGUUUAGACAGCGCAACAGUACACCUUCAAAUGAUCUUCGGUACAGCGUAUCCUUGUACAAGAUAAAACGAGGGGCUCGACGACGGAUGUCAAUUCUUCUACGUUGCUCCUCAGGUAAUUUUUGAUACUUGAGAUAAUCAACGAGGGGUUGUCUCCAAUCUUCUUUGUCAAUUUCAUAGGUUGAGACCACAUGAGCGUCGCCUCCUUCAAUAUUUUCAUCAUCAAUCAGUGAUGGAACUACCCACUUUCGGCACACACGGACUUGUAUCUCAUGAUCCGGCAUGGUAAGUGAAGAGGCUAGCGCAGCUAAUGCAUCAGCUUGCUUAUUUUCCCUUCUAGGAACAUGCUUAAUACUUGCACCUCCAAGCCGCCUCAUUAGUUGCGUUGCAUAUUUGUGAUACGGAAUUAACUCGGACUUUUUGACUUCAUAACUUCCCAAGAGUUGGUUAACCACUAAUUGAGAGUCACCAUAGAUUUGAAUGUCCAACUGUUCCAUAUCAACAGCUAUUUCAAGUCCGAGUAUGAGAGCUUGGUACUCAGCGACAUUGUUUGAACAAUGAUGACUUAGAGUAAAAGAGUAUAGCAAUAUCCCUCCAUCAGGAGUUACGAAUACAAUCCCUGCUCCAGCUCCAUGACGAUGAGCCGCACCAUCAAAAUACAUCUUCAAUGGUGGACGAAUCUCGAUAAGGAGUACAUCCUCAUCCGGUAAGUCAUCACUUAGUUCCCAUUCAGCAGGUAUCGGGUGAUCAGCAAGAAAAUCUGCCAGAACUUGUCCCUUCACAACUUUUUGAGGCACAUAAAUAAUUUCAAACUGUUGUAGUUGAAGAUACCAUCUAGCUAGACGGUCGGACAGCACUGGUCUGCUCAUCACAUAUUUUAUGGGAUUCGCCCUGGAAAUGAGCCUCACACUAUGCGCUUGAAAGUAGUGCUUUAACUUCUGUAUUGCAAAAAUAAGGGCUAAGCACAACUUUUCAAUUGGCGAGUAAUUUAGUUCGUUGGGGGUCAUCAUUCUGCUUAAAUAAUAAAGGGCAACCUCCUUUCCUUCAUUAUUUUCUUGAGCGAGCAAUGCCCCCAUCGAUCGUUCUUGGGCAGCAAUAUAAAGGAGUAGUGGCUUUCCAUGAAUAGGUGCAGCCAACACAGGUGCUUUCAUAAGAUAAGACUUAAUGCUAUUGAAUGCAUUACUACAUGCCUCAUCCCAUUGAAAUGGCACAUCUUUCUUCAUCAAGCGACUAAAUGGUUGACACCUUCCUGCUAAAUUUGAGAUAAAUCUCCGCAGAUAAGCUAAUCGCCCUUGAAGACUUUUCAAUUCAUGAAUGUCACGAGGUUCAGGCAUCCUCAAUAUAGCAUCAAUUUUGGCCUGAUCAAUUUCAAUGCCUCGAUGGCGAACCACAAAACCAAGAAAUUUCCCCGACGUGACUCCAAAUGCACACUUGAGAGGGUUCAUUUUGAGUUGAUACCUUCUCAACCGAUCGAAAACUUGUCUCAAAUCCUCCAAGUGAUUAUUUCUUUUCUUUGAUUUCACAACUAAAUCAUCCACAUAACACUCGAUAUUCUUAUGAAGCAUGUCGUCAAAGAUACUUUGCAUUGCUCUUUGAUAUGUGGCACCAGCAUUUUUGAGACCAAAGGGCAUCACUUUAUAACAAUAAAUACCCUUAGGAGUACGAAAUGCAGUGAGCUCCUCAUCCUCUGGUGCCAAUCGAAUUUGAUUAUAUCCAGAAGAGUCAUCCAUAAACGACAGAACUUCAUGCCCAGUAGUUGCAUCAAUCAUGAGUAUAGUGAUUGGUAAAGGGAAGUCAUCUUUGGGACAAGCAUUGUUAACAUCCCUGAAAUCGACACAAAUGCGGAUUUAUCCAUUCUUCUUUCGCACAGGCACGAUACUCGAAAUCCAUGUGGGAUAUUUAACUUCAUGAAUAAACCCGGCUUCAAUGAGUUUAUUGACUUCAAUUUCGAUCAACGGAAUCAAAUCGGGUCUAAAUCGCCGUUGUGCUUGCUUCACAGGUCGAACUCCCUUUUUAACAGCCAAAUGGUGGACGGCCACUUUUGGGUUUAAACCCGACAUUUCUUUAUAAGUCCAUGCAAAAAUAUCUUGAUACUCCCACAAGAGUUCAAUAUAUGCCUUCUCUUCGUCAGGACUCAAUGAAGCACUUACAUAUAUUGGACGUGGGUUCUCUGAAGUACCAAGAUUGACCUCCUUUAGAUCAUCCACAGUGGCCUUAACACCUUCCUCCAAUUCAGGUGGAGCCUCUUCAGCAUCUUCUUCUUCUUCAGGCGAGUCACCGUCAAUUAUAGUUAUAUGAUUGCAUGAAGCAACACUCUCUUCAUCAUUCUCUUUUGGUCUUGUGUACACCACGGUAUGCUCCCUGACCCUCAAUUCAGUCCCACACUUUAUUACAAGAUCUGUGCAUCUUCUCAUUCUCGAAGGAAUGCUACUACCAAAUUUAUGAGAACCAUUAGAAGGUUUUUCAAGAUUUUGCAAUGACUUUGCCAUUUUUCCUUUACUCUUAUGAGAGUUUUGAGGCUUUUGUCUUCUUUGUGGUCCUAAUCUCUUAAAAACAGAUACCCAUGGAGUUUUAUUCUCCUUUUCAUGAAAAGCUUGAAAUUUACCAACUAUUUGAGAAGACUCAUCCUCCACAGCAAUAUAUUGGCUACUAACUCUAUUGAUCUUGAUACGGAUUGGUGUAGGAGAGGAGUAGCCAAGGCCAAAUUUGGGAUUUUCAACAGCGUAUCCCUUUUCCUUCAACAUCUUUUGGGUAGAAUUCAACCCAUGAAUCAUGUCACUCGUAGAUUGACGAGAUGGAACAUUUAACACCGCAGAUUCUUUGAGAUCGUAUCCAGCCUUAGCGAGAAGCUUAUAAGCGAUAGGAUCAAAACCUUCAACGGUUCUUGACUUUGGUAUGGUGUCUUGUUCAACUUCAGAUUCUUUGCUUAAAAGAUUAGCCCUUUUAAGUUGAGAAGAUGACGCCUUUUUUAUAUCAAGAUGAACUAUCGGAAGAGUCAAAUCUUUUAGAGUUUCAUGCUGAAUUGCAGGUGACUGUCCCUGUUCCAUUCUUGAUUUGGGAGGGCAACGAAAGACAACUGAUUCAUUGUGUGGCAAUGAAACAUCAGUUUCUUCACGAACUUCCUCCUUUGAUUUCAAAAUCAUCACUUUCUCCCCUUUUGCAUUUGGAGAUUCGGGGUUCUGGAUUUUAUCCCCAGAUAGAGGUUGCUCAGAUUUAUCCUUCGCAAUGUGCCUUUUGAUGUAAAAUUUGGCAUCGGCGAUAUAUGCUUCCGCCUCAGUGAAAGGAUUAUCAUCAGCUUUCAUACUUCUUGCCAUCCCGUUUUAACAGUACUUGAAGCAUUGAUGAAGAGUUGAAGGUACAACUCCAUUUUCAUGAAUCCAGGGCCUUCCCAACAAUACAUUGUAUGUUGUUUUAGCAUCUAUCACAUAUAAUAGUGCUCUGGACAUCAUGUCAUCAAUGACUAUCUCCAAAUUUAGUGACCCAAGAGCUCUUUGCCCUCCUUGAUUGAAGCCUUGAAUCAUCAGUCGGCUAUUGGAGAGUUCAUCAACCGGGAUACCAAGCUCCUUCAGAGUUUUUAAAGGGAGAAUAUUGACUGCGGAACCUCCAUCUAUCAACAUUCUAUUCACUUUUUGCUCUUUUGCAUAACCAGUCACAAACAAAGGACGGUUAUGCGGUGUUGACCCAAGCAACAAGUCUUCACUAGUAAAAGUAAUACUUGUGACGUUCACCUCUUCAUUGCUGGUAGGCACACGACCUUCUUCAUUGCCGGUGGACGCACGGGCCAUCUCACAGAGAGAUUCGCAAGUAUUAUCUUUUUGUUCCUCGAUAUGAUCUACUCGCGUUGUAUGACUUGCGACCACAUCAACAUCAAAGAAUUCCUUUGGCAAAAAUUCUUUUAAAGUGAUAGGAGUUCGCGACUUUUGCUUGAAGAUUCGGCCUCCUCGAAGAUUAUGACAAUCAUUAGUUUUCUUUACGUCUUUCUCUUUCCCCUUCCAAAUCACCAUACUUCUUGUUAAGAUCUUGCUCGCCCUACUAGAUGGACAAGACUUCCGCCUCCUUCUUCGCGUGACUAGAGUCCAUCCUUCAUCAUCCACAUCAGACUGUAUCGCCUUUUCAUCUUCAUAUACAUGUUCCUGAAGAGUUGAAGGAGCACCUUCUUGUUUGAUUUCUAUAGGAUCAAGUGAUCGAAAUUGAAUUAUUGGCAAUACAGGCGCCAUGACCCUUUUAUCCUCCAUGGACUGCAGGGAACCAAUGGACGUUUGAUUCACACUCGCCUUGUCUUCCUCAAGGAGAAUUUUUCCCUGUCUUGCCAACUCCAUUACUUUAUCUUUGAAGACAAAGCAUUUUUGAAUGGGAUGCCCGACCAAUCGGUGAUACUUACAGUAAUUUGGAUCGUCAGUGUUCCUGGCCUCAUCAGGUCGCUUCAUCUCAAGAAGCGUGAUCAAGUUUAUACUUAACAGAUCGUCAAACAUACCAGGGACAUCAGAAUCAAGGAAAGGGUACUCCUUAUCCUGCAUCUCCUUGAGAGUUGGUUUCCUCUUUCCUUGUUCUUGAUGUGCAUUGAUCUUGCUGUCUUCUCUCCUGACAGUUUUGGGAACAACCUUAAAGGGCGUUACACUUGUAGCCAUAGCCUCCUUCUUUUCAUUUUUAAAUGGUGGCUUGCCCCCUUUCCUCGCUUCUUGUCUCUCUUUAGCCUUGUAAGGGUCAGGAACUGGCGGUUCUUGUCCAUCAAGAUUAAUCUCCAACUUAUGGGCUUUUGUGGACAAUUCAUCAAAUAUUUCUGGUUGUACACCUUGUAAGAUGUAUCUGAGUCCCCAGUGCAUGCCUUGAAUGCACAUCUCGAUCGCGGAAGAUUCAGAAAUUCGAUCUUUGCAAUUUAAGCUUAGAUUCCUCCAACGGUCGAUAAAAUCAAUGACAGGUUCACUUUUCCAUUGACGUGUAUUAGAGAGUUCAGUCAUGCUGACAGUUCUCUUUGUGCUAUAGAAGCGACUAAGGAAUUCAUGCUCUAGCUGUUCCCAACUGUCAAUGGCUCCAGACUCCAGAUCCGUGUACCAAUCGAAGGCAUUACCCUUCAGCGAGCGAACAAACUGCUUAACGAGCAAGUCACCAUCAGUGCCCGCAUUGUUACAAGUUUCCACGAAGUGUGCUAUAUGUUGCUUAGGGUUGCCCUUGCCAUCAAAUUGUUGAAAUUUUGGAGGUUGAUAUCCUACAGGCAUCUUCAAACCUUCCACUCUAGCGGUGUAAGGUUUAGUGUAACCGCUAUAUGAUUUGGCGCUUCCACCAAUCUUAUCCUUGAUUGUGCCUUCGAUAAAUUCCUUUAGAUUGUCAACAUGAAUGGUGCCAUCAGGGGAAAUUGAAAAUUCCUUCGCGGCUUGUGACUUCGCAUCCUCUUUUUCCUUUUCCCUUGAUGACGAGUCCUCUUCAUCUUGCAUUUUGAAUUUCUGUUUGGACAUACUAAGGCUAUUUUCGCCUAUAUUUUCCACCAUAUCCAUUAACUUGACUAUCUUGGCAUCUUGACUUUGCGCAUGCACUACUAGCCCUUCGACAAUUUUGGCUAGAUUCGAGAUCUGGUCUUCCACAGUUGUGGUAUUGGUCAUCAUGACGGGCAUCACCACGGAGGCAGCCGAAUCACUUGGGCUACCAAUAGAUUCAUCAUGGGCUCCUUUCUUGCUGGGAAGCAUCUCGAGAUUUGCUUCUUCAGUCACAACGUUCGCCUUAGCCUUCUCUGCUAACUUCUUGGCCUUACUCCUUGUCAGAGGUGCAGUAUACUGCGUCCCUUGAGUGGUUGAGACAUCAGCAACUAAACCUUCAAGAGAAAAGUUCACCUUCUUGAACUCCAUUGAAUUUUGGAACUGAUAAGUUGUUGGAAGAAAAGAGAUGAGAGGCAGAGAUGGUCCCACUGGGCGUGCCAGAAAUUUGUAAGCACAAAUUUUGUUGCCUAAAAUAAAAGACAAGAAAACUUGCACAAAUAUCAAAUUUAUUAAAUCAAAUAAUAAGCGGGUUACAAUCUCUGAAAGUUCUUGAAUCAAAGAAAUUAAUCCCCUGAUUCUUUUCUUCGAAUAGCUUCAAUUGAAGGGCUGAAAAGACUUGUUCUCCAAUCGAAAGGGUGUUUCCUACAAUUUCGGCGUAGAAAACGAUUGAUUUGAUGAUGGCGUCAAACACUUGGAACUUCGAGUCUUCAACACCGAUAGCAGGAGGAUUUGUUUGACUUGAUUUGGAUUUGGAUUUGAGGAAGAAAGCUCUUGAGGGAAUUUGACAGAGUUUCUCCGAAUGUUAGGGAUUUUUCUAUGUCUUUGCCUUGAGGGAAGACCUCUAUUUAUAGCCAAAAUAUGUAGGCUAGGUCUUCAAGAAAACCCUCAGAAUCUUCCUGCAUUUUGGACCACUUGUUACCCAAGAAAUCCAUUUAACUUGGGCUUAAAUAUUGGGCCAAGCCAAAUAGUCCACUGUGAAUUAAUAAAGCAAUCAAUUCACUCUAACUUAAAUGGACACUAUGAAUUUAAUUUGAUUUAAUAGCCCAUAUAAUAUUGGCCCAAUUUGCCAGUCCAAAACAUAAUGGACUUCCAUAAUUUAAUUUAAUUUAGUCAAGAUCGAUUUAAUUUAAAUAAAUCUUAACUAAAAUGAAUUAAAUAAAUUUUCUUUGUCUACAGACAGCACAUGUGCUUUAAUACUGGAUCUUCAUACAUAUUAGCACCUGCAAUUAAGUUUCAUGAUCUAUGCAAGUCCAAGAUAACAAACUAAACUAUUAAUAGCUAUCUCAUGAUCCCUUAUUUGUCAAGGACUGAAGCAGUUCCAAAGAAAGUAUCAAAGCAAUGGACCUAAUCAUUUAGCUAGCUAACAAAGAUUUAAUAAAAGUAACAUAAUUAAAGCAGUUCAGGCCUACUUGGCCUUAAGCUUCUUUGCUGGACUUAUCUUCAAUAUUCUCAGGCGGAUUGCUGUCUUCUGGACCUUCUUUAGUACACUGCUCAGAAAUAUUGGAUGGCUCUUUGGAUAGUGUUUCUACUGGUGUAGCUUCAUUUUCAGAUAGCCCUUUUGGAAAAUCAAGGCCCCUGUUUACUCCACUGCUCCCAUAUGCAUCAUCUUUCGUGGAACAAUUGCCUCCAGCAAUUUCUUCAAGCACCAACUUAGUGGUUGGUGUGAACAUUUCUUCCUUUCUUUGUUGUUUUUUGUUGAUAUCUUGGUGAGGAAGUGCCCACUGCAGAAGAAACUUCGGUGCGAUCUGGAAAUGUUACAGUAACAAAUCAUCUGCAGUGUAAGCUUUAGACACAACAGUUUUAAUCUGUCCCUGGUCUUAAAAGUGAGUCUCAUAAGCCUUGAGAAAGUAGACAAUUAUAUAUUUCUUCAAGGAACCAUUAAGUUCAGUGUCUACUUCAAAGUGCUGCAGCAAAAAUUAUUUUUUGAGUUGUAGUCAGCUGUUGUUAUCUUUUUUGUUAUGUAUGGAUAUAAAAUAGAACGUUAUCACUUACAUUUUCUUGUGCUAGUUUAUGCCGAAGUGAAGUGAAUAGAAUCAUUUUUUCUGCAUCUUCUCCAGAUAUAGUGCAAUUGAUUGAUCCCGAAUCAUCAGUUAAAAUGAUGGGAAUUCGAGCCCUCAAAUUCAACAACAGAAAGUAACAACAAUUUAAAUGCAGAAAGAGGAUUAAAUUGUAAUUAAAGAGCAUGAAUUGGUAACUUUACCUCAUAUCAACUUCACUUUGUUGCUUGCAAGAAGGACAACUGAUAAUCCAAUCAAUGUUUGCAUUCACUGUUCCUGUAUUUAGUGUAUCCAAAGGCAAGUUUCACAGUUGCUUGAAGCCAACCUAUUUUCUGCGAAUCAAGUAGAUAUGAAAGAUAUCUGAAGCAAAAAUCAUAGUUAACAGUAAAAAAGGCAAGAUCUAAUCAUACCUAAGUUUUUCAUCCUUGGCUCAAUAUGAUGAAAGAAAGAACCAACAUCUAAAGGGUUUCUCCUUUCCCUUCUCCCUUUUGUAUAUAUGGUAGGUUUUAGAAACCGUACCAUAGAUAAUUAAAAAUUGUUUCCUAAAAGAAAACAUCACUUCGUAGCAGAAAAAAGGAAGAAUUCACUGGUAAAUUCAAACCAAGUACAAUCCCUAAAAGAAGCUGAUUCUUGGGGCAAGUGCAAUCACGUGCAUGUGGAGGGUUUUUGUGGUUCUAACCAAAAGAAAGUACAAUGCUUUGUACAGAAAAUUGGUAGAACAGUAGCAUCUUUUGCAGGUUCAUAUUCGGCUAUCUGAGCGGAAGAAACAGAGAAGAAGAGAUUUUCGAUCUCUUGAAGCUACAAGAAGACUCUUUAGAAGCAUAAAAUUAAUAGUCAGGGCCGCGUGAUACCAACAAUGCAAAUGGCUUAUUAGUGAGAGGCCUAAAACUGACCCAUAUGUUUUGGUCAACCGACAAACAGUAUCAAACUAUUUGCAUCGAAACAAAAAAAUAAGAAGGAAAUAUUUUCAAACGUACAAAUAUAACCCUAAAUAAUUAGUAACUAUUCACACAACCACCAUUCACGAAAGGACGCAACUGACUUUUAACACUUAUUAAAACACAAACAAAAUUAAAAAAUAAAUAUAUUUAAUCCAUUAUUACCAAUUGACCCCUAAAUAGGAAGCUACUAUUGGAAUUAUCAAUUGUAAGACCAAGUCCCAAAUAGACAUUUACCAUUCUUUAAGAUCCAAAUAAAUAAAACAAAGUUCCUUCCUCCAAUAAGAGCUUGACACUUGCCAAUACAUGGACAACUUAAGUUGUUCUUUUAUAUAAUAGGUAGACUAGAGGUUGCACAGCCAGGGUCCUCUAGAACAUUAGUUAAAUACAUAGUAACAAAUGUUUUAGUACAUAAUGAAUAGAAACAUAGGAAAAAAAUUAAGUAUAAAAAUAAUUAAAAUUUGCUGUGAAAAGAAAUUUCAUAUAUAAAGUUAACCCCAAUUUAUUGUGAUUUGGAAAAAGAAAUUUUAACCAAUAUUAUGUGUACGUAAUGAUACCAAAAAAGAAAAGAAAGCAAAUCCAUUAUAAGUGCAUUAUCGGUUUAAUAGCAGCAUAGUUUUAGUUGUAAUUAAAUAAAGAGUAGUCAUAAUGUUUCUAACAUUUUAAUAAUUAGAAAAAAUAUAGAAAGCCACAAAAACCUGUCACUAUCUUCAACAUCAAUAAAAAAAAAAUACAAACUUGCAUAUUUUUCUUUCUUUUUUGAGAGAAAGAGCGAGUUAAUCUAUCCAUUUAAAUCAUGUCUAAUAGCAUUACAAAUAGAUGAAAACAUUAUCUAACCAAAUAGUUAUAGAAUACGUAUAGCAAGUUUAAAUAAAAACAUGAAUUGCCAUAUUUGUAAAUCUACAUAUGCAAAUUCAAAUCCAACAAUUUGUUUGAUUGCAAAUAUGUCUUCUUAAUCAAAAUAGAAUUUUCUAAUAAUAUUUUGUAGAGUGACACUCUAAGCUAAAAGCCUCAAUGCUAACUUCCCACCAAAUGCAUUCCUUUGAAAACUGCAAUUGUUUUAGAUAGUCAAAUCAACAAAAUAUUAUUAACUUCUUUAGCCAAAUAGUAAUGAUAUGUCCAGUUCUAUGCCUAACAAUCAUCUCAAACUCUAAUUACAUUAUCUAUCAUUAUGGGCAAUAAAAAGGGAUAAGAGUACAAAGUCAUAUAGAACCAGUUUAAGUAAAAGAUUCUGAAAUCUAAUUUUGCACUUCUUUUAUUUCCAAGCUAUCAUUUGCUAAAAUUAAAACCAUGAAAAUAAACUACCUAUUAUGGAUACAAGCUAGUCAUUCAAAAUGUUGAAUGAAGAGAUAUAAAAUAUUAUCUUCACAUUCUAAAUUGCUAGCCCCAACAAUUAUUUUACCCGUCAUCCACCUUAUCCAGUUUAUAAGCACUUUUCACAAUUAAUAAACUUUAUAUAAAUUAAAAUAUAAUUACCUAUCCAUAAAUUAAGAGAUUCUGGUUAAUUUUUAAUUUAAUAGGCAUCAUUUUUUUCUUCCUGAUCAUCGUUUACCUUGGAUUUUCAUUUAUUAGAUUUGUUUCUCCUCUACUAUAGUACUAUCACCCUAUUAUCAAAUAACAAUUUUAAUAAAUAAAAAAUUAGAAUUAGAAUGAAUCUGCAUAAUGGUGUUAUUUAUUUUAUGAGGGAAAAGUAGUUACAAUUCUUUCAUUGUUAGCCUAAAAAUUCUUCAUGUAAUCACCACCCGUCUUGUUGUUAGCCUUUUCCAAAAAUAAAAAGAUCAAAAAGUAGUUUCAGAAUAAAUAAAAUAUAAAAAACUAAAAAAAAUGUUUCUUUAGAUUUGGGGAAAAAUAUUCACAGCAUCACAUACCUAUUUUGGGCAGAAAAGAAAGUCAGAUGAAGAAGAAAUAGGUGAGAAAAGCAAUAAGCAAAGGUUGCUGAUCAAGACGCAAAAAAUGACAAAAAAAAAUAUCAAAUAGUAUAUACCAAAAAGAGACAUUAAAAGUAGAAGAUCAUGAAUCAUAAUUAUUGGACUAUGGAAGAAUGGAAAUAUCAAACCCAUUCUUGAUCUCCGAUAAUGAAAUCAUUCAUUUAGUUAAUUAUGGACAAAAAUGAAAGAAAAUGCAUCAACUAAUCCAAUAGAGAAAAAAUAGAAUAAAUGAUUAAUUAGGAUGAUAGGGGAAAAAAAUGGAGUACAAAGUGGAAACUAAAUAACAAACCUACAGUGUACAUGAGGAUUUGUUUAAUUAUCUUUAAUCAAAAAAGAGAAAGGAAAUAAAGUGAAUAAAAGAAAAAACAAAGCAAAAUGAAAAAAAGAAAAAGAAUGGGCCAUGUGUCAAAAUGAGAGGGAUCCACUUAGCAAUCAUUGGAGUUGCUAUAGUAACUCUACUCUCUUCUUAUAUAAUAGGUAUAUUAGAUAUAUAUAUAUAUAUAUAUAUAUAAAGAUAUAAAAAACCAAUUAUUCAGGAUAAAAGAAUUUUCGUAAAGAUCAAUUCCUAAUAUGAACAAUUUUCUUUGAUUAGUGGUGACACAAUUAGAAAUUAGCAGGGUCAAAAUAAAUUUCUCAAAAACUCUUUUUCCUAAAACUAGAAUUUUCAUUUUUAAGGAGCUUGCACCUGCCCUAAGUAGACAUAGUGUAGCCCCGCCUCCGCAGAAACGCUUUUCGCUGGUCCAUUGUUCUUGUUCUUCUUUGUUUUGCUGCCUGCAACAGCCGAUUUGUGUAAGAUAUGGCGUUGAACAACGGGAUGAGAUCAUGCGCCUCCAAGCUCCUCACCUCCACCGAAUCACUGCUUUCCAAGUCCAGUAAGCUUCUACUGCAUCUUGUUUUCCUUUCUCCUUUUCUAAGAGAAGAAAUGUUUUAUCUGCAACAUGUCAUGUAAAAUUGCAAUCCUUGUUUCUGUAUGUGAUUUCUUCAGAUCUGCUUAAUGGGUUUCUGAUUUUAUCUAUGGAUUUUUAUGGGUUUUCUGUAUUCCAGGGAGUGUUUUGUCUAUAGCUAGGAUUUUUAUCUUUUCUCGAGUUACCCGGAAAAAAAAAGAAGAAAAGAUUGAAUCUUUUGUUAUGUUGUCUGUGCUUUUGUGCUAUAAUGGAUGGAAUGGACAAAGAAAGCCUGAUAUGAACUGGGAAUUUUUAGGAAAAAGAAGUGGAAUGGUUAAACUUUGCUUGAGUUUGGGAACAAUUGCAGCAGCGCCUUAGGCCGAGCGCUUUCCUCAUGAAAGAAGGGGGGUGGCGUGGUAUUCCACGGAGAGAGGUUACUAGACUUGGCACAUUUUCAAUGCGAUUGGUGCAAAUUUGGUGUUUAUCACGGGGUUUCCAUUACUGCCUUGAUGCUUAGUUAUGCUACCAAAGCGAGGGGAUUGCCCUACAUUUUGAAGUGAAAUAUAGCAUAUUUUUAAUGGAAUUGAGCGUAUCACUAAAUUAUCAAUGAAAUGGUUUGCUUGAGAGAUUAAGAGUUUUUUACGUUUACUGAGGUUGUCAAGUUUGAUGUCUUCUCUUCAAUUUGUUUUCUGAAUAUCUUAAGGAGGAUGGUGUGUGAAGCUUUUUGGAUUCUGGCAGAUGGAGCGUGAACUUGGUUGCUAUUCAGCCCAUUGAAGUCUACUGAAUGAUUUUGGUUUUGAGCUAUGUGCUAAAUUUGAAGUUACGGGGAUGUGGUUACAACCUGGACUUUUAUUUUUUGACUUGGAUAGGGAGCAUAUUUUGGUUAAAUCAAAUACUUUUGUGCUACUGCAAAGGUGUGUGAUUCUUGAGAUAUAUUUCCUGUUCUGUCAUUUUCAUGUACUGGUAACAUUCAGAAAGCAAACAAGGUCUCAUGUCUGCCACUUCAAAACUACAGGAACUUUUGGCUAGUUUUUAUGGUUAAUUGAGAUUCUAAGGGGAAAUUUCAUUGUGAUUCUGUUUGAGAAUGUUAUGAAAUUUUUAAUGCAAUUUUGUAAUACUUCAAUUGAUGUUGUUGUUGGGGAUGGUUUAGACUCUGUAUGACAGUAUGAUAUUCUUGAAUUGGUGCUGUUUCCAUUAUUUUGAAGUUUAUGAUUAGAUGUAGAGUUUCCUGUGGUUUGCUAAAUCUUUGUUACACUUCAGCUUUUGUGAAAACUUGUAUGAUACCCCAUUUGUUUUAAGGUGUUUCUUUGCACCUUUUUAAUGAGCGAAAAUAUUUUGCUAAACUUUUUUUUAUUUUUCAAAUGGUAGAUACUUUUAUUGGUUUAUUACAACGAUGAAGAAGUCUAUUAAGUGACAUCAGUUGAUCUUUUGAUGCUUAGAAAAUUUAGGAGCAAAAAAAGUCAGUUUUUUUUCUGGGGUAAAGAAAUUAUUCCAGUGCCUUAGGCCGAGUGCUUCCCUCGUAAAAGAAGGGGUGGCGUGGUAUUCCACGGAGAGAGGUUAUUAAACGUGGCGCAUUUUCAAUGCGAUGGGCGCAAAUUAAGUGUUCUAUCACAGGGGUUCCAUGGCCGCUUUGCUGCUUAGCUAUGCAACCAAAGCGAGGGGAUUGCCCUACAUUUAAAAAAGUUUCACAAUAUAACUGGAGUGGUAGGAUAGAAUUUCCUUGAUGAAUUGGUUUGCUCAAUUGGUUACCUUAAUGUUCAUGUUUUGUUGGGUAUACAAGUUUAUGCCUAUUCUUAUGAAAACUUGGAAGGGAAAGAGUAUGUGGAAUUUUUUGUUUCUGGCAUAUUUUCGUUUCAAUUUGUGUUGCUGGUAAACCAGUUUAUUCUCUAUUUGAUUCUGACCACUCAAUUCACAUACACUACAUAGCUCUGAAUGGGAACUAGCUGCAUGCUAAAUUCUAAGUCAAAAGUAAAGGGCAAAACCUCGUAUUAUUUCACUUGACCUUCUUCUUCUUCUUCUUCUUCUUCUUUCCUCCACUGUUUUGAAAGAUAUACUUUAAGAUUCUAAGGAACAUGGUUGGCUUGGACUCUCUGUUACACAGUCUUACGAACUUUCAUAUCUCAUUAAUUGCACUGUUUCCUUGCAUCUUGCACUUGAGUUUUGGAUGACAAAGUUGAUCUUUCGAGGUUUUUGUUCUGGCAAAAAUAUUGAUAGAAUAUGAUAUUCUUACAUUCCUCUUGAUCUCCUAAAUUACAAAGUUGACAAGUAGAUGUAAAUUUGUUGUGAUCUGCUAAGUCUUGCUGCAUCUAUAAUUUAUGUGAUGCUGGUAUGGCAUUCCAUUUGCUUUUAGUUGAAGUAUCAACUGUUUUUAGUUUGUCAAAAUAAUAGCUUUUUUGAAAAAGUAGAAAGUAUCAUAUAUUAAUUACUUCAGUUAUGUAGGAAGUUCAUUAAGUUCCAUCAGUAUUUCUGCAGUUGCUGCCAUUUUUCUAGUUCAUCAUAUAUGUUUUUCUUUUUCUUUUUUCUGAAUGUGUCUUUUGUUGAAAGUAUAAUGAAUUUGUACUACAUUGGAACUUUUACUUUCAAUUUGCAUCGGAGGAAAGGAGUGCAAUAAUCUGAUUUUCUUACCGAAUAAAUUUUGAAAUAUAACCUGUAUUUCCAUAAUGGAACAAAUUUGGGAUAGACUGUUCCACAAGUUGAUCCGGUUAGUUGAACUAUGCACAUUUUGAAGUAGAUGUUUUGGGUGUGUCUGACAUUGUUAUGUGGCAAGUUUUCUUAUUGGACCCAUUCUGGUGAUAUAAUCUUGGUGCAACUGUGCAAAACUUUUGUUAAUGAUCUUCUUACUCCUCUUAGAUAAUCUGUGUGCAACUGUGCAUAAUACUGGUAUCCUGGUGUUGUGAUAGACUUGUCUUUGGAAACCGUUUAGUGCAAUGUGAGUCAUGGAUCUUGAAGGUGGUGGUUAGACAUGGAAAUUAAGAAACUUGAUGGCAUAUGGGUAAACAGUGAUGUUGAAUAAGGUUAAGGCUUCGUUCGUACCAAACCUCAAACUCUGUCCCUCCCCUCCAUGCCUACUCAGUCUUCCUUCCACCUCUUGCCCUUUCCUCACCUUCACCUCCUAUCGAAUUCAAUCCUUCUGCCUCUAUAGGCCUCUUACAAUGCCUUUUUGUCCCCACUUCCCCCUCUUUCUCCUUCCUCACCUAGACCUCCAAUCUGAAUCAGUUCCUUUUGCCUCUAUUCAGGACAUUGGCAUGUAAGGCAUUUUUUUGUCUACUGUUAUGCAGUUUUGCUGAUUUGUUGGAACUGCUCUACCGCCUCAGCAAGUUAAAUGACUUUGCUUUGAAGUGAUCUGACAUCCUCCUUGUCUCGUUGACCUCCCUGUGUUAUGUUUUAUCAUCCAUCCUAACCCUCCUAUUGGCUAGUUUGUAGGUGUUGUAUGUUGUAGGAAUAAGAUAGGAGAUGCAGAUGCGGAGGAGGAGAAAAUUGCAGAAAGAAAUAGAACAGUUCAAUACCUCUAGAAAGAGGGUAUCAGUUAUAUUUGUCUAGGCAGGGAAGAGAACAGUUCUAUUCCUCCUGGAGUUUUUUUUUUUUUUGAGGAAAAGCAAUAUAUCCUUGCACCUUCUUUUUCAUCUUAAAUAGUAAGGUGUUUUGUGUUCGUGUUAGCGUCAAUAGUUUAUCUGAAAAGGAACUGGAACUUAUCUUCUCGUUAUCACAAGCAAAAUCUCGAGAGGUUAAGCUAUUAGUGAUUACUGCUUUCUUUUUGGUCGUACAUCUUUGUUGUGAUGAUAUGCCUGGUGACGUUUCUUUCCUUUGUUGUUUACUCAUUUGUUGCUUGUGAUGUUGAAGUUAAUAACCACUCCUUUUUGGGAAAUGGAUGCUAUAAACUUUUCCUAGCAACCAUGACAAACUACCAUAUUGGCAAAGCACUUUGUUUCUACCUAUUUAGUGUCGUGAUUCUAUGUCAUGUGAGCAUUCCGAGACAAAGUCCCUAGCAACUAUGACAAACUUCAAAGCAAGCUAAGCACUUUGUUCUCUGUGUGAGUCCCAAUUCUUCACGAAAUUUGAGUAUACCUUGAAUCCUUAAGAUUAGCAUUAUUUUACCUCUGUCACUUUGUAAUCUGCAUGAAUUAUGCUUGAAACUUGUAUUUAUGGAACUGUGAAUUCCUUGAUAAAUUGUAGUCUUUGUACAUCAGAACCAAUGAAAUUCAAUCUUGUGACAGCAAACAGAGGGUUCCACUCAAGUGGUGUUAAGAGAAUGGGAGGAGGACAUGCUCAUGGUCAUGAUGAGCCUUAUUACCUUCAUGCUAAGCACAUGUACAACUUGGACAGGAUGAAGAACCAGGGCUUGAAGAUGUCACUUGGAGUUUUCACUGCAUUCAGCAUCGGUGUUGGUGUCCCAGUUUUUGCCGUCAUAUUCCAGCAAAAGAAGACUGCUUCUGGAUAAAUUUUUUUCGCCUUCUCCACCUUCUCUACCUAUGAGGCAAUAAUAGAAGCUACUUUCGCCAAUCCCUCCUUGUGCAGACAGUAGACAUGAAUCUAUUGCUUUCAAGAACUUGACUAUAUUCAUGUUUGCUUUGAUUUUGUCUUGCUUUUUGACAUUGGUAUGGUUCUCGCAUCCUGAUUUUGAAAUAAAUUUUCUGAAAUUAUGCUGCCUUAGACUUGCAGAUUGGUUAACCACAAGUGUUGUUAAUUGGUAAAAAGAAGGUGUAUUUUUGGGUGCAGCCAUAGAAAAAAGUACAAUUGAGAGCCUUAUAGCACCCACAUCUUUUGCUAGUCCUGCAUUCCAGAGAGCCUUUCAGGGCCCAAGUUGUUACCCAGAGGAAUUUUGGUAGACCAUAAAGGGCUGUUGGUCCGAGCAUUAAUGUUAAUAACAACUUUUAUGACUGGAAAAAGAAAACUUUUUCAUGUACAAUGGAAACUGGAAAUUUCUCUUCCUUAUCCCUUUUUGUCUUUUGCUUAAAGAACAAAACAUUGACUUGCUUUUAUGAAAACGAUUUGCAUUAGAGAAAGGUAAGAGAGUCCUGGUAACGUAUAAGCAAUCCACCGGAAAAAUGUUGCUCAGAGGUACACCUGGGUCAAUCCACAGUGGACAAUUUGUCCAAAAUUGUAGAAACUCCUACGUUCAAGUGGGAUUUAAUUAUUUAUCCCAGAAGACAGGAAAAACAAAAUUGAAAAAUUUUAUCCAUGGUUUUUUAUUUUAUUUCUGCAGUAAUAUUUGUUUUACAUACAUACAUACAUACAUACUUUUUUCCUCCCGCAGAGAUGAUGAAAUCAUAGAUUAUGUUUCACACACAGCAUCUUCUACUUUUUGGAGACCUUAUGUAACAGUGACCAUUUGCUAAGGCUUUGUUUGGAUUGUGAUUUUUCACUAAAAAAUUUUACGUUUUCGUAAAUGCAUUUUCUAAUCACCUUUCUAUCUCACAUAUAUCAAAUCGUUAUACUUUUUUUUUUUUACAAAAACUCCUAAAAGCAAACCUUUCUGUAUUUUCCAGUUUAAGGUAUAAAUAGAUCAAAAUUAUCUGUCUUUCUGGAUAAAUUUUUGGGUGGUUUUUCCCUAGAAACAUACAUGACAUUUUUUUCUACCAAAAAGAGACAAGACUAUACUUUUUUAAGUAUGACAUACAAAUUAUGUGUCAUUUUUGUGAAAGAAUCAAGCAAACUGCAAAAAUGUGGAAGAAAUGUUGUCUAAAUUGGGGUAAAAGGAUGAUCGACAACAUAAGAAGCCCAUACACACCUAAUCCCUACCCUGAAAGAAUAUUGGCUGUGGCAUAUAAUGGGCAAGUGGGAGGUCCAAUUAUUGAAGUGAUACCGUGUUCUUCUUUCUGGAGAAUCAAAUACUUUAAAGAUUGGUUGCGUGUGUUAGUGUGGGUUUCUGGAAGAGAAAAUAGUGAAUUUAUAAAGGAAUGGUGAGUAAAUAAAUGUCAAUUUCUAAUUGAAAGGGUGAAACAAACUUCUCUCUCUGUUUCAUUGAUUCUACCCCAGCACUCCACAAUAAACACAAAAUAUCAGCUCAAGAAACUGCUCAGCCCACCAAUACGAGGGACAGAAUUUUCAAAGAUAAUUAAUGUUGUUAGUAGAAUAAUUUGUACCUCACUUCAUUCUUGUUUUUGGGCUGCAAAGAAAUUACUAUUAGCUUAAUUUGAAAAUCAUUUUCAUUUACUUAACCUAAGUGUUUAUAGUAGGAUGCCUUGUUGUUUAGCUUUGUCCUCUAAUUUCCUCGUCUUAACUGAAAAUUUUUGUUUGAAUUGCAAAUUUUUGUGAAAAAAUUUCUUUAUAUUUUUUUAUCACAUUUUUAUGUCGCAUACAUCAUAUCAUAUCGUUCCAGUAUAUAGUUUACAAAAACUCUAAAAAUUUGCAAUCUAAACUGGCAGGAACAUCUUCCGCUGUCUAACAUUUUUCGGACAACCAUAGCUUAAAUUCUACCAAAGCAAUUAUGGCAAAAAUGUUAUUUAAAUGUAAUUUUGAAAACUCAACUCCAACCAUGUCUGUCCCACAGCCCAUUAAGUAGCUAUCCAAGCAUCCAUGGAUCUUGGAUAAUUCAAGGUGUAGGACAGGUGUUAAUUCACACAGAAGUAUCAAGUCAACAACCGAAAAAAAAAAAAAUCUUAUGCUUGUAGCCUAGCUUGGAUUGCUUCCUAUGAAACAAACACAGAAAUAAGAAAAGAAAAGGACCAGAUUGUCAAGAAUCAAAUGCAACCAAUCAUUAAUCCAAUCUCCAUUAUGUACAAAUAUUUUGAAAGCAAAGGAGGUUGGGAAUGACUUCACUCAAUACAACUGUCUAGUGCACUAUCAAGUGGACUUCUUGUUACUCCAAAUUGAAUGUAACCAAAGACCAAUUCAACCAAAUUCUUCUUUUCCAAUUCAAAAGCAACAGCCCCCUUUCCUCCUACUACUCCCAGAACACACUAAUUAG
This 23625-nucleotide long non-coding RNA is filed under the name Coffea arabica (coffee). Its description in RNAcentral is "long non-coding RNA (CARA_LNC006796)". Lineage: Eukaryota; Viridiplantae; Streptophyta; Magnoliopsida; Gentianales; Rubiaceae. The record is from RNAcentral.